Anguilla rostrata (American eel) is the source of this 518-nucleotide long non-coding RNA. RefSeq lists it as uncharacterized. The record is from RefSeq and is a predicted model, not a curated record. The transcript has 4 exons. NCBI's taxonomy places the organism in Eukaryota, Metazoa, Chordata, Actinopteri, Anguilliformes, Anguillidae.
GGAAAUUUUGAUCACGUUCGGUUUCCCUGCAGCUUCCUCGUUGCCAUUCUUUGCCCGCUCUCUUCCGGUUGUGGGCGUAUACUGAACACAAGCAGUGUGCUACGUAACCACACGCACAUGUCCUACGCCUUCUCGCGAACACAAGAUUCCCGCUACCCCUUCUUAAAUUACGCGGGUGUGGAUCCCAGGUGGUACGCUCUAAAAUCAAGUUGCCCUCCUUCAGGAGAGCAGGUUCAACAGGGAUGCUGGACCUCCUCUUAUGAAGAGACCCUCGCCAAAGAAGUCACUUUUACACUCACCCAUCUUGGAGAAAAGGGAAAAGAUCUUUGACUGCAGGCUGUCUGAUACGUCCAUCACCACUGCAGUGGGCCUAUCUGCAGCAGGUUCCAGAGGAUCUCGGCGGAGCGGAAGAGCACCUGUCCCCCGGGGCCGGGCUCGUUCAUGUGGCAGCAGAUCCUGCUGGCGGCCUGGGCCUUCAGCAUUUUACUGCAGCUCACCUCUGCAGCCGUAUCAACGCA